AUCCACAUAGGGUGGAUUUUAUGCGGAAAUCCAACCGCGUACGGCCUAGAACGCCGUGUUUUCAUAAGGAGAAAAUAAAAUG
This 82-nucleotide non-coding RNA is filed under the name unclassified sequences. The record is from Rfam.